Molecule: ribosomal RNA, 303 nt
Filed under: Halobacillus sp. SB 5
Lineage: Bacteria; Bacillati; Bacillota; Bacilli; Caryophanales; Bacillaceae
Description: bacterial SSU rRNA
Rfam family: Bacterial small subunit ribosomal RNA
Source: RNAcentral
AGCAAGCGGAUCCCCUUCGGGGGUGAAGCUUGUGGAACGAGCGGCGGACGGGUGAGUAACACGUGGGCAACCUGCCUGUAAGACCGGAAUAACCCCGGGAAACCGGGGCUAAUGCCGGGUAACACCUACCUUCGCAUGAAGGAAGGUUAAAAGAUGGCUUCUUGCUAUCACUUACAGAUGGGCCCGCGGCGCAUUAGCUAGUUGGUGAGGUAACAGCUCACCAAGGCGACGAUGCGUAGCCGACCUGAGAGGGUGAUCGGCCACACUGGGACUGAGACACGGCCCAGACUCCUACGGGAGGCA